Molecule: ribosomal RNA, 789 nt
Filed under: Bdellovibrio sp. 3GL
Lineage: Bacteria; Pseudomonadati; Bdellovibrionota; Bdellovibrionia; Bdellovibrionales; Pseudobdellovibrionaceae
Also listed under: 3 other names
Description: bacterial SSU rRNA
Rfam family: Bacterial small subunit ribosomal RNA
Source: RNAcentral
CAGGCCUAACACAUGCAAGUCGAACGGGGAAAGCUUUCGGGUGAGUACUAGUGGCGCACGGGUGAGUAACGCGUGGAUAAUCUGCCUUGAAGAGGGGGAUAACUAGUCGAAAGAUUAGCUAAUACCGCAUAAGACCACAAGAACUGAGGUUCAAGGGGUCAAAGGUUUUUCGCUUCAAGAUGAGUCCGCGUAAGAUUAGCUAGUUGGUGAGGUAAUGGCUCACCAAGGCAACGAUCUUUAACUGGUCUGAGAGGAUGAUCAGUCACACUGGAACUGAGACACGGUCCAGACUCCUACGGGAGGCAGCAGUAGGGAAUAUUGCACAAUGGAGGAAACUCUGAUGCAGCGACGCCGCGUGAGUGAUGAAGGCCUUCGGGUCGUAAAGCUCUGUCGCAGGGGAAUAACACAAUGAAUGUACCCUGUAAGAAAGGAUCGGCUAACUUCGUGCCAGCAGCCGCGGUAAGACGAGGGAUCCUAGCGUUGUUCGGAAUCAUUGGGCGUAAAGCGGGUGUAGGUGGCUUUGUAAGUCAGGUGUGAAAGCCUAGGGCUCAACCCUAGAAGUGCAUUUGAUACUGCGAAGCUUGAGUGCUAGAGAGGUUACUAGAAUUGUUGGUGUAGUGGUGAAAUACGUAGAUAUCAACAGGAAUACCGGUGGCGAAGGCGGGUAACUGGCUAGACACUGACACUCAGACCCGAAAGCGUGGGGAUCAAACAGGAUUAGAUACCCUGGUAGUCCACGCCGUAAACGAUGGAUACUUGUUGUUGGAGGUAUUGACCCCUUCAGUGACG